RNAcentral lists this ribosomal RNA (292 nucleotides) under uncultured Alphaproteobacteria bacterium. RNAcentral's name for it is "partial 16S ribosomal RNA". Lineage: Bacteria; Pseudomonadati; Pseudomonadota; Alphaproteobacteria. The record is from RNAcentral.
GGACUACUCGGGUAUCUAAUCCUGUUUGCUCCCCACGCUUUCGCACCUCAGCGUCAGUAUCGGACCAGUUGGCCGCCUUCGCCACUGGUGUUCUAGCUAAUAUCUACGAAUUUCACCUCUACACUAGCUGUUCCACCAACCUCUUCCGAACUCAAGAUCGCCAGUAUCGAAGGCAGUUCUGAGGUUGAGCCUCAGGAUUUCACCCCCGACUUAACAAUCCGCCUACGUGCGCUUUACGCCCAGUGAUUCCGAACAACGCUAGCCCCCUUCGUAUUACCGCGGCGGCUGGCAC